CAGGGCCUGCUGGACCUCCUCCACUCACCAGCCCCAGCCCCAGCCAAACAAAGCCCUAAGGCAAUUUGUACCAAGGCCAGGCAAUGGGAUUUCCCACAAGGGAUGAACAAAGGGGCAUUAGCAGGAACAGUGGGGGGUUCUCACAACCUCCCCGCCCCCUCACGCCAGUGUGCAGGGCACUGGAUCUGUCUGCUUAGGGGCAUUGGAACGUGGCCACCCAGAUUGCGGUGAGUCCAUGCAGGGGCGGAGGGGGGGUGCACCCGGGGCGGACUCGCUCCUCCCUCUCUCUUUCUCACCCAGGCUGGAGCUGGCAGCCUCCUGAAGCCAGAGCGCUCCCCAGACGUCCAGCUCCGCACGCGCCUGCUCCUGCAGCGACUCCAGGAGACCACGACCAGCAAGAACCACCAGCUGAUCACUCAGGCGCUGCAGGCCCUGCGCCAGGAGCUGCAGGGGGAAGCAUUUGCCUCCCCUCAUGAAGGGGAGAGGUGGCGUUUGCUCCGGGAGCCUGCGCUGAACAGAAGGGAUGAUGCCAGGAGGAGAAACAGGAAGGCCGUGGUGCUGCAUCCUGUGGCUGCAGAGAGGAGACUGGUGAAGCUCACCUGGAGGACAGGCAGCCCCAUUGCCGGCAACACCAGGGAGGCAGCCUGCCCCAAAAUCCAUCGCUGACAGCCUCAAGAUGAGAGCAGCUGGGUCAUGCAAACCUGCUCUGUCCCAUGUCAAAGCAGCACUGCCCUGCUGGAGGAGAGCCCAGUACAGGCAGGAGCAGAGCCAGAGAAGAUCUGGGGGUGGGGGCAAGCCCCUCCGGCCCAGCUCCUGAGCCUCUGGGCAUGGUGAAAGAGCCAGAGGCUCCUAGACCCACAUGGCCAGCAAGACCCCAGCUCUAAACCAAGGACUGACCUUCCCCCACUCUGCUGCAGGCGUGACACUGGAUUUCUAACUCGGCCUGAUUGGUCCUGGCCUUCUUACUCCACCCUGGCCACCUGUGGGAUAGCUCAGCCAGGAGUUAACCCCCUGCUUGUCAGGGAUCUGUAGCUGGUGAAUGGUGGUCCACUUCUGUGCGUGCCCAUCCCCCAGUGAGGACAAAGCGGGACAUGUGCGUGACGGGGACCGAAAUGCAAAGGCCACCUCUCUGAACUAAAGGAAAAGAAGUCACUUGGUUCCAUAGGGUGUAAUUAACCUGUGGAACUCGCUGCAGGUACAGAGAAGAGAAUCCAAUGGUUAGAAGUGAGGGAACAGUCAGGGCUCCUGGGUUCUGUCCCAGCAACUAGAGGCAAAUCGCUUCUCCUUGUGCCCCAAUUUGCCCUUCUGCCCAAUAAAGGAUAUUAAACACA
Molecule: long non-coding RNA, 1331 nt
Organism: Dermochelys coriacea (leatherback sea turtle)
Lineage: Eukaryota; Metazoa; Chordata; Testudines; Dermochelyidae
Exons: 3
Source: RefSeq, a predicted model, not a curated record